Lemur catta (Ring-tailed lemur) is the source of this 153-nucleotide long non-coding RNA. RefSeq lists it as uncharacterized. The record is from RefSeq and is a predicted model, not a curated record. Lineage: Eukaryota; Metazoa; Chordata; Mammalia; Primates; Lemuridae. The transcript has 3 exons.
GUGAAUUACAUUUUCCUGGGAUUGUUUACGGCUCUUCAAGGCCUGAUGCUAGGAGCCGUAGCAAGUUUCUAUAAAGUCCAUGAAGUAUUGUGGGCAACAGCAGCAACCACUCUGGUGACACUGGCUCUCACUUUAUUUGCUCUACAAACAAAA